AGGGAAUAGAUACCCCGGUAGUCCUGGCAGUAAACGGUGCACGUUUGGUGUGGGCGCAAUCGACCGCGUCCGCGCCGGAGCUAAACGCGUUAAACGUGCCGCCUGGGAAGUACGGUCGCAAGAUUAAAACUCAAAGAAAUUGACGGGGACCCGCACAAGCGGUGGAGUAUGUGGCUUAAUUCGAUGCAACGCGAAGAACCUUACCUGGUCUUGACAUGCAUUGUGUCUCCGGUGAAAGCCGGAUAGGGUAGCAAUACCCGCUUUGCACAGGUGCUGCAUGGCUGUCGUCAGCUCGUGUCGUGAGAUGUUGGGUUAAGUCCCGCAACGAGCGCAACCCCGUGUGAUUUGUUGCCACCGGCUUAUGCCGAGCACUCGAAUCAGACUGCCUCGAUCAACGAGGAGGAAGGU
This 408-nucleotide ribosomal RNA is filed under the name uncultured bacterium. Its description in RNAcentral is "bacterial SSU rRNA". It matches the Rfam family "Bacterial small subunit ribosomal RNA", at positions 773 to 1174 of the family's 1533-position model. The record is from RNAcentral.